This is a long non-coding RNA of Fukomys damarensis (Damara mole-rat), 2050 nucleotides long. RefSeq lists it as uncharacterized. The transcript is spliced from 3 exons. Lineage: Eukaryota; Metazoa; Chordata; Mammalia; Rodentia; Bathyergidae. The record is from RefSeq and is a predicted model, not a curated record.
UGGCGCCUACAGCGGGCCAGCGCCGGCCGGCCCUGCCCAACCCAGCCCAACCCAGCUCGGAGAGCGCCCAAGGAGCGGAACCUGAUUUGGAGUCCCAGCGAUGCUGCUUGCUCCAGAGGGACUUGGAGCCCGUCACUGCACCUGAGCCGGGUCUGGUCUUCAGAAUUCAAGAGCCUCAGGCCACCCUUUUUGUUGAGUAUCUGCUGAGUACCAGGCCUCAUUUUAGGCACCAAAAGAUGACAGAAUCCAGUCGAGUCACUCAUGAGGUGUCGGUAGCCUAUAAAUGAGAGGAGCUCUCUCCACGAGCUGACCCCUCUACUAGACCACUGAGCUUGUAGUUGAAUAAGAGCUCACCUGUAUAUUCAGCAUACAGUUCUGCAGUGUAUAUUUUCCUGCAUUCUAUGCCAAGGUGAAGACAUUGAAUUUCAAAGAAGAAAUGGAACCCACCCACACCUUCAGGCACCAAAGCUCAUGCUCUUUCUGUGGCAUUGACAAGCCUUCUGGGAGAUUCCAAGUCUCAGAGGAUUCCAAUUGACUCUGCUUGAGUAACAGGUCUACCUCUGGGACCAGGCAUGUUGCAUGGAGCAAUUGGCUGCCAUAUUUGGCCAGACUUAGGUAACUGUCCAUCACUGUACUAGUAGGAACAGUCACUGACAGUCCCAAUAGAACCACAUAAGCCCAAAAAAAUGUUUGUUUGUUUUUUUAAGAAAAUGUAUUUUACAAAUAGGAGGAAAGAUCAGGUAGUGGAAGUGACUGUUUUUAUUAAGGUUACUCACAUGCUGAUCUUACUCAUUUUCCAAAUUAGCUGAAAGAGAUCAGGGAUUACAAUUAAUACUAGCUUUUCCUGAAAACCUGUAUAUCAUGGCCUGUGCCUUUUAUGUGCAUUAUUAUAGAUAUCUGCGCUUGCAUCUUCACUGUUGUUCAAGAAUGUUGGACCUGAUUCUUGCUUUGGGUAGAAAUAGCAGCUGUGGUUCCCUGGACACUCACACUUGGCCUUCUAGGUUCUCUGUGGCCUGUUUCCCACAGCUGGCUUACCUCCUGCAUAAUGCUCCAGUCUAAUUCAAGUCAUGCAUGUAUUAAACACCCAGCACUUCCCCCUGGAGCCUGCAGUCUCUCUUUGGGCGUUAAAUGAAUGAGACUUUCAAACACAGGGUUACUCACCAGGUGGAGUGCCAAGGGGCCAAUUCUAAAAUAGGACUGGGUCUACACAGUCUGGGCUGAGCAUUGGACAAAUGACCAGCGGCUGGACCGGAUUCCCUCCAGAGGCCCUGGAGAACUGGGAGGUCUGUGUUUCAAUGGUUCUGGGAGAAGGAAGAAUGUUCCCAAGUCAUGGCUUCUCCUUGGAUUAGAUCCAGCCUGCACAAGAGCCACUUGGGGCCCAAGUUAUCUAAGUAAACACUGAUUCCUUGACGAGUUUCCAAAGUCAGAAACACAGUCACUGUUUGGUUUGAACAGGCUGUGCUCUGUAAACCUCUGCUUGUGUAUCGCUAGGGCCCCAUGUAAAUAUUUUAGCUACAGAUUGCAAGAACACAACUUCUUUUAAAAUCCCAUCACUUCAUCGGUAGACUUAUAAUAUGAAUUAUGUGUUGUCUCUGUGUGUUGUUAGACUUAAAAUGAAUUAUGUGUUAUUUCUGUUUGUUGGGAGGUCCAGUUCUCUGACUUGAUUACAAGCAUCUCAGAUGUAUCUCGACUGAGACUGUUGGGGUUUAGGGAAAGCCUAAUAGACGGCUCACCCUGCUUCCUGAUGGAACUCAAAAUGAGGUGUACACUCAAGUAGGUGGAGCCGAAAACAUUUUAUUUCCAAUAAAGUUGAUUAUGAAGAAGUGGGCUUUGAGUGUCAGAGGCGCUUGUAAUUUCUCAUCCUAGAGUAUGGCAGGCUUACCCACCCAAUCGGAAACAGCCCAUAAGUCAGGAGACAAGACUGCCAUCCAACUGAAGAAAUGGAGGUGAGGAAGAAAAAGUGUGUUGCCUAAAAGAAGGAAGGAGCGGGCUGGGGAUUUAGCUCAGUGGUACCACUGCCUGCUUCACAAGCACAACGUCCCAAGUUCAA